GACGAACGCUGGCGGCGUGCCUAAUACAUGCAAGUUGAGCGCUGAAGGUUGGUACUUGUACCAACUGGAUGAGCAGCGAACGGGUGAGUAACGCGUGGGGAAUCUGCCUUUGAGCGGGGGACAACAUUUGGAAACGAAUGCUAAUACCGCAUAAAAACUUUAAACACAAGUUUUAAGUUUGAAAGAUGCAAUUGCAUCACUCAAAGAUGAUCCCGCGUUGUUUUAGCUAGUUGGUGAGGUAAAGGCUCACCAAGGCGAUGAUACAUAGCCGACCUGAGAGGGUGAUCGGCCACAUUGGGACUGAGACACGGCCCAAACGCCUACGGGAGGCAGCAGUAGGGAAUCUUCGGCAAUGGAUGAAAGUCUGACCGAGCAACGCCGCGUGAGUGAAGAAGGUUUUCGGAUCGUAAAACUCUGUUGGUAGAGAAGAACGUUGGUGAGAGUGGAAAGCUCAUCAAGUGACGGUAACUACCCAGAAAGGGACGGCUAACUACGUG
This 497-nucleotide ribosomal RNA is filed under the name uncultured bacterium. RNAcentral describes it as "partial 16S ribosomal RNA". It matches the Rfam family "Bacterial small subunit ribosomal RNA", at positions 28 to 507 of the family's 1533-position model. The record is from RNAcentral.